CCUACGGGAGGCAGCAGUCGGGAAUAUUGCGCAAUGGAGGAAACUCUGACGCAGUGACGCCGCGUGCAGGAAGAAGGUUUUCGGAUUGUAAACUGCUUUAGACAGGGAAGAAAAAAGACAGUACCUGUAGAAUAAGCUCCGGCUAACUACGUGCCAGCAGCCGCGGUAAUACGUAGGGAGCAAGCGUUAUCCGGAUUUAUUGGGUGUAAAGGGUGCGUAGACGGGAAAACAAGUUAGUUGUGAAAUCCCUGAGCUUAACUGAGGAACUGCAACUAAAACUAUUUUUCUUGAGUGCUUGAGAGGAAAGUGGAAUUCCUAGUGUAGCGGUGAAAUGCGUAGAUAGUAGGAGGAACACCAGUGGCGAAGGCGACUUUCUGGACAGUAACUGACGUUGAGGCACGAAAGUGUGGGGAGCAAACAGGAUUAGAUACCCUGGUAGUC
This 441-nucleotide ribosomal RNA is filed under the name uncultured bacterium. Its description in RNAcentral is "partial 16S ribosomal RNA". It matches the Rfam family "Bacterial small subunit ribosomal RNA", at positions 338 to 795 of the family's 1533-position model. The record is from RNAcentral.